UGGGGAAUAUUGGACAAUGGGCGCAAGCCUGAUCCAGCCAUACCGCGUGUGUGAAGAAGGCCUUCGGGUUGUAAAGCACUUUAAGUAAGGAAGAAAAGUAUAUUGUUAAUACCAAUGUACCGUGACAUUACUUACAGAAUAAGGACCGGCUAAUUCCGUGCCAGCAGCCGCGGUAAUACGGAAGGUCCAAGCGUUAAUCGGAAUUACUGGGCGUAAAGCGCGCGUAGGUGGUUUAUUAAGUUGGGUGUGAAAGCCCCGGGCUCAACCUGGGAACUGCAUCCAAAACUGAUUCACUAGAGUACGAAAGAGGGAGGUAGAAUUCACAGUGUAGCGGUGGAAUGCGUAGAUAUUGUGAAGAAUACCAAUGGCGAAGGCAGCCUCCUGGUUCUGUACUGACACUGAGGUGCGAAAGCGUGGGUAGCGAACAGG
RNAcentral lists this ribosomal RNA (429 nucleotides) under uncultured Oceanospirillales bacterium. RNAcentral describes it as "bacterial SSU rRNA". It matches the Rfam family "Bacterial small subunit ribosomal RNA", at positions 355 to 776 of the family's 1533-position model. The record is from RNAcentral. Lineage: Bacteria; Pseudomonadati; Pseudomonadota; Gammaproteobacteria; Oceanospirillales.